AGUCCUCGUUAGGUGAGGCUCCUAUACAAACAUAGGCUACUGCCCGGAAACAUCGAAAGAUGCCAAUGGGUAGAACAGGAAUUGCCGGCUUAAGGCUUUUCAUAAGGUAGCUAAGGUUUAACCUUUACGUUGUAUAGUGCCAAAGCUCGACAUG
RNAcentral lists this small RNA (154 nucleotides) under Ureibacillus endophyticus. Its description in RNAcentral is "M-box riboswitch (ykoK leader)". It matches the Rfam family "M-box riboswitch aptamer (ykoK leader)", at positions 11 to 155 of the family's 169-position model. From Rfam's summary of the family: M-box riboswitch, also know as ykoK leader is described as a metaloregulatory RNA that sense divalent metals and function as a genetic control element of genes related to divalent metal transport in bacteria. Lineage: Bacteria; Bacillati; Bacillota; Bacilli; Caryophanales; Caryophanaceae. The record is from RNAcentral.